AUGGGAACGCGAAGAACCUUACCUAGACUUGACAUCUUCUGCAUUAAUCGUAAUGGAUGAAAUCCCUUCGGGGACAGAAUGACAGGUGGUGCAUGGUUGUCGUCAGCUCGUGUCGUGAGAUGUUGGGUUAAGUCCCGCAACGAGCGCAACCCCUAUUAUUAGUUGCUAACAUUAAGUUGAGCACUCUAGUGAGACUGCCCGGGUUAACCGGGAGGAAGGUGGGGAUGACGUCAAAUCAUCAUGCCCCUUACUGUCUAGGGCUACACACGUGCUACAAUGGUGGGAACAAAGAGAUGCAAUACCGCAAGGUGGAGCUAAACUCAAAACCCCAUCCCAGUUCGGAUUGUAGGCUGAAACUCGCCUACAUGAAGCUGGAGUUGCUAGUAAUCGCGAAUCAGAAUGUCGCGGUGAAUACGUUCCCGGGUCUUGUACACACCGAGUCGUGGGAGGCAAGGGCACGACCGAAGGGGGGGAUA
This 476-nucleotide ribosomal RNA is filed under the name uncultured bacterium. Its description in RNAcentral is "bacterial SSU rRNA". It matches the Rfam family "Bacterial small subunit ribosomal RNA", at positions 954 to 1435 of the family's 1533-position model. The record is from RNAcentral.